AGUGAACGCUGGCGGUAGGCCUAACACAUGCAAGUCGAACGGCAGCACAGUAAGAGCUUGCUCUUACGGGUGGCGAGUGGCGGACGGGUGAGGAAUACAUCGGAAUCUACUUUUUCGUGGGGGAUAACGUAGGGAAACUUACGCUAAUACCGCAUACGACCUACGGGUGAAAGCAGGGGAUCUUCGGACCUUGCGCGAUUGAAUGAGCCGAUGUCGGAUUAGCUAGUUGGCGGGGUAAAGGCCCACCAAGGCGACGAUCCAUAGCUGGUCUGAGAGGAUGAUCAGCCACACUGGAACUGAGACACGGUCCAGACUCCUACGGGAGGCAGCAGUGGGGAAUAUUGGACAAUGGGCGCAAGCCUGAUCCAGCCAUACCGCGUGGGUGAAGAAGGCCUUCGGGUUGUAAAGCCCUUUUGUUGGGAAAGAAAAGCAGCAGGUUAAUACCCCGCUGUUCUGACGGUACCCAAAGAAUAAGCACCGGCCAACUUCGUG
This 492-nucleotide ribosomal RNA is filed under the name uncultured bacterium. Its description in RNAcentral is "partial 16S ribosomal RNA". It matches the Rfam family "Bacterial small subunit ribosomal RNA", at positions 29 to 507 of the family's 1533-position model. The record is from RNAcentral.